This is a long non-coding RNA of Alexandromys fortis (reed vole), 851 nucleotides long. RefSeq lists it as uncharacterized. The transcript is spliced from 5 exons. NCBI's taxonomy places the organism in Eukaryota, Metazoa, Chordata, Mammalia, Rodentia, Cricetidae. The record is from RefSeq and is a predicted model, not a curated record.
CUGCACACAGUGCUCCUGAGCCCAAACCUUGUUGCACGUAGAAUGUUUUCCACUAUUACAACAUCCACAUUUGAAGAAUUUCUACAAUAUUCAAUAAUUUUUCUAAACUCUGAAGGCUUUAUUGAGCCAGUUCAUUACUGUCCCAGGACUACCUUACAGCCAGAUCCCAUGUGGCAUCACACAGCACUAAACUACUGGACUGUUCAUUGUAGGGCAGCCUUAAGAUGAGAAACAGGCUCUGGUUUGCGUCAUAUCGUCUUAAUUUAAUUCUGGCAUGUCAUCUCUGUCUAGAAGUGGAUCCUUUUCUCCUGGCGCUCCAGCUUGUUGAAAGCUGCUCUGAGCAUGAGACCCUCAGGAGUUCCUGAUGGCAGGGAGUGGUGUCUGAUCUGAAGAUUGAACCUAAGGCCUCACACAUGCCAAGGCAAGGAGACAAGUCUUCUGCCAUGGAGCUGUGUUUCAUCCCAGGAUCACGACAUUUUGGAGUGGGAAUAGAUCAAGAGACUAUCUACAGAGUUCAAGCAUGGAAUUGGGCUUCUGACAGGCUGCACACUCUCCACCAGUCGGCCUCCCACACCCCUGACUCUCUUUGAGAACAGUGUCCCUGUGGCCUGCUGUAUACACACAGAUGUUCACCUUUUUAACACAUUCACUUUGACUCAGAUCAUUUAACAAGCCAGAACUAUUCUGGUCUGUGAUGUGGGAGGUCCUUCUGUAUAUGUGUUGCUCUUAUUGGUUGAUAAAUAAAGAAGAUGCUUUGGCUUAUGGAAGGACAGAAUAAAGAUAUGUCAGAAAUCUGAACAGAGAUAUAGGGAGAGAGUAGCCAGAGUCAGGGGGAUGCCAUGUCGCUGCCA